UACGGGAGGCAGCAGGGGGAAUAUUGCACAAUGGGCGAAAGCCUGAUGCAGCUAUGCCGCGUGUAUGAAGAAGGCCUUAGGGUUGUAAAGUACUUUCAUCGGGGAGGAAAAAACAAAACUAAUAAUUUUAUUUCUUGACGUUACCCGAAAAAGAAGCACCGGCUAACUCCGUGCCAGCAGCCGCGGUAAUACGGAGGGUGCUAGCGUUAAUCAGAAUUACUGGGCGUAAAGAGCACGUAGGUGGUUUUUUUAAGUCAGAUGUGAAAUCCCUGGGCUUAACCUAGGAACUGCAUUUUGAAACUGAAAUACUAGAGUAUCGUAGAGGGAGGUAGAAUUCUAGGUGUAGCGGUGAAAUGCGUAGAUAUCUGGAGGAAUACCUGUGGCGAAAGCGGCCUCCUAAACGAAUACUGACACUGAGGUGCGAAAGCGUGGGGAGCAAACAGGGAUUAGAUACC
Molecule: ribosomal RNA, 455 nt
Filed under: uncultured bacterium
Lineage: Bacteria
Description: bacterial SSU rRNA
Rfam family: Bacterial small subunit ribosomal RNA
Source: RNAcentral